Molecule: ribosomal RNA, 808 nt
Filed under: uncultured bacterium
Lineage: Bacteria
Description: bacterial SSU rRNA
Rfam family: Bacterial small subunit ribosomal RNA
Source: RNAcentral
AGAGUUUGAUCCUGGCUCAGAUUGAACGCUAGCGGGAUGCUUUACACAUGCAAGUCGAACGGCAGCACGAGAGAGCUUGCUCUCUUGGUGGCGAGUGGCGGACGGGUGAGUAAUAUAUCGGAACGUGCCCAGUAGCGGGGGAUAACUACUCGAAAGAGUGGCUAAUACCGCAUACGCCCUACGGGGGAAAGGGGGGGAUCGCAAGACCUCUCACUAUUGGAGCGGCCGAUAUCGGAUUAGCUAGUUGGUGGGGUAAAGGCUCACCAAGGCAACGAUCCGUAGCUGGUUUGAGAGGACGACCAGCCACACUGGGACUGAGACACGGCCCAGACUCCUACGGGAGGCAGCAGUGGGGAAUUUUGGACAAUGGGGGAAACCCUGAUCCAGCCAUCCCGCGUGUAUGAUGAAGGCCUUCGGGUUGUAAAGUACUUUUGGCAGAGAAGAAAAGGCAUCCCCUAAUACGGGAUGCUGCUGACGGUAUCUGCAGAAUAAGCACCGGCUAACUACGUGCCAGCAGCCGCGGUAAUACGUAGGGUGCAAGCGUUAAUCGGAAUUACUGGGCGUAAAGCGUGUGUAGGCGGUUCGGAAAGAAAGAUGUGAAAUCCCAGGGCUCAACCUUGGAACUGCAUUUUUAACUGCCGAGCUAGAGUAUGUCAGAGGGGGGUAGAAUUCCUACGUGUAGCAGUGAAAUGCGUAGAUAUGUGGAGGAAUACCGAUGGCGAAGGCAGCCCCCUGGGAUAAUACUGACGCUCAGACACGAAAGCGUGGGGAGCAAAAAGGAUUAGAUCCCCUGGUAGUCCACGCCCUA